RNAcentral lists this ribosomal RNA (600 nucleotides) under Streptomyces deserti. Its description in RNAcentral is "bacterial SSU rRNA". It matches the Rfam family "Bacterial small subunit ribosomal RNA", at positions 222 to 834 of the family's 1533-position model. The record is from RNAcentral. Lineage: Bacteria; Bacillati; Actinomycetota; Actinomycetes; Kitasatosporales; Streptomycetaceae.
AGGAUGAGCCCGCGGCCUAUCAGCUUGUUGGUGAGGUAACGGCUCACCAAGGCGACGACGGGUAGCCGGCCUGAGAGGGCGACCGGCCACACUGGGACUGAGACACGGCCCAGACUCCUACGGGAGGCAGCAGUGGGGAAUAUUGCACAAUGGGCGAAAGCCUGAUGCAGCGACGCCGCGUGAGGGAUGACGGCCUUCGGGUUGUAAACCUCUUUCAGCAGGGAAGAAGCGCAAGUGACGGUACCUGCAGAAGAAGCGCCGGCUAACUACGUGCCAGCAGCCGCGGUAAUACGUAGGGCGCGAGCGUUGUCCGGAAUUAUUGGGCGUAAAGAGCUCGUAGGCGGCUUGUCGCGUCGGUUGUGAAAGCCCGGGGCUUAACCCCGGGUCUGCAGUCGAUACGGGCAGGCUAGAGUUCGGUAGGGGAGAUCGGAAUUCCUGGUGUAGCGGUGAAAUGCGCAGAUAUCAGGAGGAACACCGGUGGCGAAGGCGGAUCUCUGGGCCGAUACUGACGCUGAGGAGCGAAAGCGUGGGGAGCGAACAGGAUUAGAUACCCUGGUAGUCCACGCCGUAAACGGUGGGCACUAGGUGUGGGCGACAUUC